UACGGAGGGGGCUAGCGUUGUUCGGAAUUACUGGGCGUAAAGGGCGCGUAGGCGGCCUGUUAAGUCAGACGUGAAAUCCCUCGGCUCAACCGGGGAACUGCGUCUGAUACUGGCGGGCUUGAAUUCGGGAGAGGGAUGUGGAAUUCCAGGUGUAGCGGUGAAAUGCGUAGAUAUCUGGAGGAACACCGGUGGCGAAGGCGGCAUCCUGGACCGACAUUGACGCUGAGGCGCGAAAGCCAGGGGAGCAAACGGG
RNAcentral lists this ribosomal RNA (253 nucleotides) under uncultured bacterium. Its description in RNAcentral is "partial 16S ribosomal RNA". It matches the Rfam family "Bacterial small subunit ribosomal RNA", at positions 524 to 776 of the family's 1533-position model. The record is from RNAcentral.